This 251-nucleotide ribosomal RNA is filed under the name uncultured prokaryote. RNAcentral describes it as "partial 16S rRNA". It matches the Rfam family "Bacterial small subunit ribosomal RNA", at positions 525 to 775 of the family's 1533-position model. The record is from RNAcentral.
ACGGGGGGUGCAAGCGUUGUCCGGAAUCAUUGGGCGUAAAGCGUUCGUAGGCGGCAUACCAAGUCUGGUGUUAAAUCCCGGGGCUCAACUCCGGUCCGGCACUGGAUACUGGUAAGCUAGAAUGUAGUAGAGGUAGAGGGAAUUCCUGGUGUAGCGGUGAAAUGCGUAGAUAUCAGGCGGAACACCGAUGGCGUAGGCGGUUUACUGGGACAUAAUUGACGCUGAGGAACGAAAGCCUGGGGAGCAAAUAG